CAGUCGCCGCGGGAAUACGUAGGUGGCAAGCGUUGUCCGGAAUUAUUGGGCGUAAGGGGCUCGCAGGCGGUUUCUUAAGUCUGGUGUGAAAGCCCCCGGCUCAACCGGGGAGGGUCAUUGGAAACUGGGAAACUUGAGUGCAGAAGAGGAGAGUGGAAUUCCACGUGUAGCGGUGAAAUGCGUAGAGAUGUGGAGGAACACCAGUGGCGAAGGCGACUCUCUGGUCUGUAACUGACGCUGAGGAGCGAAAGCGUGGGGAGCGAACAGGAUUAGAUACCCCGGUAGUCCCUGUCUCUUAUAC
RNAcentral lists this ribosomal RNA (301 nucleotides) under uncultured bacterium. Its description in RNAcentral is "partial 16S ribosomal RNA". It matches the Rfam family "Bacterial small subunit ribosomal RNA", at positions 509 to 807 of the family's 1533-position model. The record is from RNAcentral.